CAACCGCAUAGCGUGGGUGUUUGCCCAAUGGUACACGGCGUCACCUCAAUCGUCAGAUACUAGCUGUUAGAUAUGCUAUUUACUCUGUACUGUGUGUGGGAGGGCUCAGAGGCAGCCAGUGGAUCGCCAUGCAUAUUUAACAGGAGGAUGAGUACAGUACAUACACUGGAACCAUACCAGAUUACUAGUAUUAAAACAACAUAUCCUGCAUCAUACAGUACUUUUAGCCGCUUGUAAUACGAAGCUCGUCUUACCAACCAUGGAGGACGGUUUGAAGACAAAGGUACAGUGCCUUCAGAAAGUAUUCAUACCCCUUGACUUAUUCCACAUUUUGUUGUGUUACAGCCUGAAUUCAAAAUGUAUUUUUUCUCACCCACCUACACACAAUACCCCAUAAUGACAAAGUAAAAACAUGUUUUUAGAAAUGUUUGCAAAUUUAAUGAAAAUGAAAUGCAGAAAGAUCUAAUUUAUGUAAGUAUUCACACCUCUGAGUCAAUACAUGUUAGAAUCACAUUUGGCAGCAAUUAUAGCUGUGAUUCUUUCUGGCUAAGUCUCUAAGAGCUUUGCACACCUGGAUUGUACGUUAUUAUUUUCAAAAUUCUUCAAGCUCUGUCAAAUUGGUUGUUGAUCAUUGCUAGACAACCAUUUCCAAGUCUUGCCAUAGAUUUUCAUGUAGAUUUAGGUCAAAACUGUAACUCGGACACUCAGGAACAUUCACUGUCUUCUUGGUAAGCAACUCCAGUGUAGAUUUGGCCUUGUCUUUUUGGUUAUUGUCCUGCUGAAAGGUGAAUUAAUCUCAGUGUCUAGUGGAAAGCAGACUGAACCAGGUUUUCCUCUAGGAUUUUGCCUGUGCCUAGCUCCAUUCAGUUUCUUCUUUAUCCUGAAAAACAUCCCAGUCCUUAACGACUAUAAGCGUACCCAUAACAUGAUGCCACCACUAUGUUUGCAAAUAUGGAGAAUGGUACUCCGUGAUGUAUUGGAUUUGCCCUAAACAUUUGCAUUCAGGGCAAUAAGUGAAUUGCUUUGCCACGUUUUUUUGCAGUAUUAUUUAGUGCCUUGUUACAUUAUACAGGCUUCCUUCUUUUCACUCUGUCAGCUAGGUUAUUAUUGUGGAGUAACUACAAUGUUGUUGAUACAUCCUCAGUUUUCUCCUAUCACAGCCAUUAAACUUUGUAACUAUUUUAAAGUCACCAUUGGCCUCAUGGUGAAAUCCCUGAAGAGUCAUUCAAAAAUCAUGUUAAACGCUAUUAUUGCACACAGUGAGUCUAUGCAACUUAUUAUGUGACUUGUUAAAAACCCCUAAGGUUGAUGUCCGCGCACAUGCGGAAAUCAAUUGGCAUAAUAAAACAAUCCCCAUAAAAAUCUGUACGUUUUGGUAUUUGGUAUUUUAUUAGGAUCCCUAUUAGCUGUUGCAAAAGCAGCAGCUACUCUUCCUGGAGUCCACACAAAACAUGAAACAUAAUACAGAAUGACAUAAUACAGAACUACAUACAUUUUUAAAAAGACACACGUAGUCUACAUAUCAAUGCAUACACACAAACUAUCUAGGUCAAAUAGGGGAGAGGCGUUGUUAUUUGAGCAAUAUGUGUAACAAUGCCUUCUAGUAGGAGAGGGGGGGGGGGUGUAGGAAUCAGGAGCAGGAGAGCAAAGAAGUUCCAGUGGCACAAAAUGUUUAAUCAGGCGGUCCUGAACUCACAAUACAAACAAGUGGGAAAAACACGCACAAACGUAGUCGCCACCCACAGAGAAACUAAAUGCACACACGGAGGAGA
Molecule: long non-coding RNA, 1772 nt
Filed under: Salmo salar (Atlantic salmon)
Lineage: Eukaryota; Metazoa; Chordata; Actinopteri; Salmoniformes; Salmonidae
Description: lncRNA (ENSSSAG00000103488.1)
Source: RNAcentral